Molecule: ribosomal RNA, 497 nt
Filed under: uncultured bacterium
Lineage: Bacteria
Description: partial 16S ribosomal RNA
Rfam family: Bacterial small subunit ribosomal RNA
Source: RNAcentral
GAUGAACGCUGGCGGCGUGCCUAAUACAUGCAAGUCGAGCGAACAGACGAGGAGCUUGCUCCUCUGACGUUAGCGGCGGACGGGUGAGUAACACGUGGAUAACCUACCUAUAAGACUGGGAUAACUUCGGGAAACCGGAGCUAAUACCGGAUAACAUGUUGAACCGCAUGGUUCAACAGUGAAAGACGGUCUUUCUGUCACUUAUAGAUGGAUCCGCGCCGCAUUAGCUAGUUGGUAAGGUAACGGCUUACCAAGGCAACGAUGCGUAGCCGACCUGAGAGGGUGAUAGGCCACACUGGAACUGAGACACGGUCCAGACUCCUACGGGAGGCAGCAGUAGGGAAUCUUCCGCAAUGGGCGAAAGCCUGACGGAGCAACGCCGCGUGAGUGAAGAAGGUCUUCGGAUCGUAAAACUCUGUUAUUAGGGAAGAACAAAUGUGUAAGUAACUAUGCACGUCUUGACGGUACCUAAUCAGAAAGCCACGGCUAACCACGUG